This 36066-nucleotide long non-coding RNA is filed under the name Malus domestica (apple). RNAcentral describes it as "long non-coding RNA (MDOM_LNC010936)". Lineage: Eukaryota; Viridiplantae; Streptophyta; Magnoliopsida; Rosales; Rosaceae. The record is from RNAcentral.
CAGAUUGAGGUUGAAGAGUUGUGUAUGUUAAAGGAUCAUGAGCAUAGGAUGAAGAGAGCUCGAAGGUAAAAUGUUGUAAGAUCAAUGAUAAGGCCAGUUUUGCUUCCAUCAUAGCAAAAUUUUGGCCAAUGCAAAUCCGCGGACCAGCGCCAAAGGGGAAGUAUGUGAAUCUGUUGUUUGUUGCCUUUGAAACUCCUCCUGAAAACCUCUCUGGUUUGAACUCAUCUGCAUCGUCACCCCACAAUUCUUUGUCAUGGUGAACAAGAAGUAUGGGUACAUAGACGUCGACUCCAGCUGGUAAUGAUAAUUUCCCAAGUUGUGUUUUCUUGUGAGUGAUUCUGGACACCUCAACACCCGGUGGGUAUAAUCUCAGAACUUCCAGUAAGACCAUGGUCACCUGGGGCAUAUUAUAGGUGCAGCUAAUUGUUUCAUGUAAGCGACAUAAAACAUUCAAAUUACAAGUUUAUACAUAUAAUUAGUUUACAAGAAAACAUUAGACACUUACAACAUGUAGGUGCAUUAGCGCAUCAAAGGUUGGUGUGUUAUUGCUUCCAAUAACCUGCAAGACUUCUUCUCUUGCUCGAUUUUGCCAAUUCUGAUUGUGGCUUAGUAAAACCAUUGCCCAAACAAGCAAUGCUGAAGUGGUCUCUUGCCCGACAAAAUAAAACAGCUUACACUCCUCAAUCACAUCUUCAAUACUCAUUCCAACGUUUUUGUUGUUCUCAUGUUCCUUAAUUUCCUUGGAGUUGGACUCCAAAAGCAUACGCAAUAAAUCAUCCUUAUUAAUGUCGUCACCUGCCUUAAUCGUUCCUUCUCUUUUGUUUAUAAUAUCCAUGAUUAAAACUCUUAUCUCUUUAUUAAUUUCCUUCAUCCUCUUGUUCAUUUUUGAUGGUAGAAACCUGCACAAAGAAGAACUUAUUACAAUAGUAGUAAUUUUUUUCCCUUUCCAAUAAAAAAGUUAAAUUUUACCUCCAUCCUGGGAUAUAGACACUUGUUGCGCUUCUUAGAAGUGUUGCACCAAUUCUCGCUUGCUCUUUCAGCAGUUGGAAUAUUUUCUUUCCCUCUUCAUAGCUACUUCCAAAUGCAGCUCGAGAAAUCACAUCGCCUGCCAAACUCUGAAGCCAAGGCCACACAUCCAACUCCAAUAAACCCUCGUUGACCAUCAAGUUCUCCCAUGUGUCAAUCAUCUCGCUACAACUUUGGUAAAAUGUCGGUACCAUAAACUGCAAUGAGAAGAAUUAGUAAUUAUCGCUUUAUCACCAUAUAUAUAUAGAUCUCCAAUAAUUGUUCAUAGUGCUGGUGGAGUAUAUGAACAAUGAAAAACGACAGGGAGGCUAGUUACUUAUAAAAUACACACAAUUGUUAAUUAGAUCUCCAGGUAUUGUUCAUGCAAAAAGAACAGAAGAAAAAGAAAACUAAAGAAACUUUGAAUGCAUGUUGGAAAUAUACAGUACAAUACCUUUAGCUUCUCUAAAUGGAAUGCUGGGUUGAUAAUCUUUCUGUGUUUCGUCCAUUUCUCACCAUCAAUAUUUACGAGUCCCUGUGAAAGUACCUUUGUAAUUGGAUUACUAAGUGGCUUCCGAAAAUCAUCAUAUCUGUUUAAGACAUCUCUCAAAUCUUCUGGAUUCAAAAUGUUCACCCUCAGGGUGGGCCCCAUCCAAAUAAAAGAAUUCUUACCUGCAAAUUUUAGUUUUUGUUUAAUUAACUAAUCCAUGUCAUGUUUAACUUAUACAGAGUACUACACAUGUAUGGUGAUAUGAAUGUAAUCAAAUAUUUGGCAUACGGUGAGAGUUCACAAUACUAAUUAGUAUACACACACACACACACACACACACACACACACACACACACACACACAUAUAUACAUACAUAUUUGACAAAUAAGACUUGACAUACCGUAGGUGAUCACCGUCUGGUGGAGAAAAGGGAGGAUGUGUGGCACUAUAUCAUGUGAGAGGUGGUUCAUGGGUUUGGAUCUUGCUUGUUUGUGCAUCAUGGAGCUUUCUUUCAAGUCUCCAAACAAAAGUCUGUAGGAGUUGCCCGCCAAGCCUUGUUGCCUCAGGUAUCUUUCUAAUUUCUUUGGCCUGAACCACACCCAAUUCAGCAAACUCCAUGCCCACGCUACAAUGCUAACCAAAACAACAGUUAGGGCAACAGUGCCCAGUGAGGCUUCCAUUAACCUGUAGCGAGAAAGAGAGGGGAAAGUAAAGGGAGAGAUGGAGUUUUGGUGAUGAGGAACUUGUUUGAAUGGUGUGGAAAAUGCUUGCUUCCUGUAAGCACCUUAUAUCCAGUCUUGAUUCACAUGUAAAACGAUGGUGGUACGUAAGAGGAUGGUUUGGUGUCAGUUUGCAUGCAGGUGUAGGGAUCCAAGUGUAAUAAUACAAUUGAUUGAAAACUUAAAAAAAAUUAAAUAAAUAAAUAAAAUAAAAAAACCACCAACCAAUAGCAUUAAGACACUUAAUAUAUCAGAUCGUAUUUAUGAUAUACUGAAAAAUUUCCAUGACUUGGGACAAAUUUAAUGGUUGGCACAUCAUAAUGAUGCGUUAAUAACCGAAAUUUUUUUAUAACAUGGAUAAGCAUAAAAUUGAUGUCGCAACUUUAGAAUAUAUUAAUAAAAAAGUACAUAAACAAACGUGCUAUAAUUUUAGUGAAGUGCUAUAAUUUUAGUGAAAUCGCAACAUCGUAUGGUGGUGAUCCGGACCAAAAUUUUUUUCCAAAUAAUUCAUAUGCAUCAACAAAAGUGCAAUUUAUUAUGAUGGGCUUUAUAUUAAAAUCAUCGAUUGAUUUUCACACGAAAAGAUGGUUAAAUAAUCUUCAAAUUAAAUAAUUUUGUGCAAUGAUGAUCUUUCGAUGAUGAUAAAAAAGAAAAAAAAAAAAUUUGAAUAUGAUGUUUGUACGAUAAAGAUACGUUAAUCUUAAGUGAAGGGACAAAUAGGUUUCCCCAUAGAAAGGACACAUAUUUUUCAAAAAUGUUCUACACUAAAUUCAUCUGUACUACAAAAAUAAAGACUCGGACUUUGAAAGUAAAGCAAAAGAGCACGCUAACCAACUUGACUAAACCUAAGUCUGCACCAAAAUUGGUACUCUUAUCUUUCUAUUAAGCAUAGAUUCAAAUUGCAAUUAUUCCUGGUUAUUAUCAAUUUAGUUAGUUUUAUUCAUAUAGCUUGACUAAAUUAUUUAAAAAAAAAAGGCAACUAAAACAUAACCUGAACACUAAAUCACUGUAAAGAAAGAACUUAAAAUUUUUUUUAAGACAUUUGUUGAAAUAUCUUUGCUAUGUUUUCUUUCAUAUUUUUAAUAUACAUGGAUACAUAUAGUACUGUUCUACAUUCAUCUGGAAAAUCGCAUACAGCUCAUUACAACAAAGGCAAUAGGCACGGAAAAAUCUUUCACCCAACAACGAAAUAAGCAAACAUAAUACAAAAUGGAAGCAACAAAAUACUCUUUCAACUUUGGGGUUCCGACGCUGGGCUUUGACAUUGUUCAAGAAUUAUGUUACAGUUGUUCAUGGUCCGUGCGUCAAGGAGACCGUGAUUCCACAAUUUGAGCAUAAAUAAUCUCCAACACCUGCCAAAGUGAGUCGUUGUUUGAGAUUCAGAAAUGCUAAUCAAAAGCAAAGCAUGAUAAUGCUACAUUUUCCUCCAAGGCAAUACGUAAAGCAUCAAGCGCGUGAAGAGACAAAUUAUCUUCUUCUCAUAUAACAGUCAGUCAAAUGAUACUAGGUGUUUUCCGGAUGGCUUUCGCUUGAUAGGGGCUGGACAGGGGCAGGAAUGAUGCAAAGACAAAAUCACUUUACAGAGAAACUGUUCAAUACUGAAGGUGACGUCCUUAAACUUAAAACCAAAGAAAAGGUCUGACAAAAAAAUCUUGAGGGCAAAGAGUGAAAAUAGUUAAAUACUUAAACUAGGUCCUUAUGUGAACGCCACUGUACAUAUAGUCUUUAGUGGUACGUUUGAACGAGGGACUUUUAAGUUCAUGAAACUUAGGCUUUAAUUUGUUAGGAAUGGAUUAGAAAAAUUAGAUAAAGGGGGUUGUAAAUGACUAGAUGCAAUAAAUUCGAAGAAACUAACGAUCAAAUGAGUGCAAUUAUUACCAUAUCAGAGCAGGAUAUUUGACAAGAUCUUGCCCGUGCAACCUCAAAAUUGCCUCGCACCCCCAAAGAAUAUGAUCAUCAGCCAAUACCCUGCUAAACAUUACACAAAAUAUGUCAUAAAGAAUCGAGAGAAAAAUAAUGUUCUUCCACAUACGAAAAUGAACUUGUCCCUUUAUUUUUGGUCCAGUGCUUGUCCAUCACUGAGCAUUAUUGUUCGUGGCUGGAAUUUCCGUCGGGGAUGUUUCCUAGCCGACGAGCACACAGCUCCCCAAGAGGUUGGCGCCGGUUGAUGCUUUCUGUCAGGCUUCUGCUUUACUGGCGGGCUUGUCGGGCAAGGCUGAAAGAGAAGGACAUAGUUAACUUUGAAAGGUGCCUUUGUGGGGCCUUAGGUAUAGGCCUUGAGGCUCACAAUCAAGAUUAACUUUUAAGUGCUCAUGCGUGCCAUUGUCAUCUUUAGCAUGGCAGAUGUAAAAUAGAUGUUGAGUUUUAGUUGUACAUAUACCCGAGAGGCUGUGUUAGUUAUGACAGGUGCCUUUGUGGGGCCUUAGGUGUAGGCCUUGAGGCUUUCAAUCAAGAACUAACCCAGCACUCGAAUAUACGAUGUCUGUUUCAUUGAUUGCAGAACCGUUAUAACCAUUAUACUUCUGAUUAUCCGAGCUCGCAGAGUAGAAUGAACCCAAAUAGGUGCCUUUGUAGGGCCUUAGAUAUAGGCCUUGAGGCUUCCCAUCAGAAUUCCUUCUAUACUCAAACGUUCUACUAUAAUCAUAAUAUAAUAGAAAUAAAACUAAGAGAUAGGUCGAUUACUUGCGCCUCAAGUAACUUCGGACUUCUUGUUUAUCAAAGCUUGUCGUGGAUGGGUUAAGUCCACAUAAGGUUCUUUUUUAUGCCUUGAGACCAAGGACUUUUGAAUGAUCAAUCUUACAUGCCCGAGAGCUUAGAACUUAGAUCUGAUUUAAACUGUGAAGACAUAUUCAAAUCGGAUUCAAGAAUUGAGAGAGUCUUUUAAUCGUCAUCUUACUAGAAAUAACUUCAAUACAACUGGAAGUAUACAACAUAUUGCUAGGCUAAUGAAUGAAAAGACAAAACCAAAGAGGGUCGGGCAAGGCUGAUCGUCUUGCAACUUCCUAUCUUUGUGGUUUAUCAAGGGGUUUGAGAGCUUUAGAAAGGGGGGGUAGGGAGUGAGUUUACAGGAAGAAAUCGAUACUACAACAAGUUUUAAGACGAGGUAGCAGAGCUAUUACAAAAGGUUUGGGUGAGGGUUGAUCCCGAGAGGAAUGAAGGCUUGGGCUGACUACAGCUUCGUUUGAAGGCAAAUCUGGCUUUGAGCAGAGUUUGUACUUGUAUCUGUUUGUUUGAUUGAGUGUCCUUAUCUCUGAUUUCUCUUUUUUCUUUUAUAGACACUUCGGCUUGGCCUCCUGUAGCAGUAAUCUUGCCCGAAUGCAGCUUGAAGGGUAAUGACUCAUCAGCUAUUUACUUGUACUGCCCCUGUAAAAUGCUUUUAGGCUGAUUAGCUGGCUGGUCUACACCACUUGACCCCUAAGUAGGUGAGCAAGUGGUUCAAAUGAUCUGCACCUAGUCGGGAAAGGCCUUUCUGCCUUCUGGGCUUUGGCUGGGCUUCGGGCUUUUCCCCUUUCCAGACCUCCUUUUGGGCCAACUCCUUCUUGAGCCCAAAGUUCAAGUUUUAACCCAAACAAUUAUUAGUGCAAAUGAAGAGCCCUACCAAAAGUGCCACUUGAUAUCCAAGUCCAACAGUUGUUAUUGAAAGAAUUAAGAAGUAUAGAGAAAUUACUGUUGCUUCCUCACGAAGGAGUUCCACAUAUGCAUUAUUUUCUUCUCAUCUUUUGUCACAUCAACGAAAUCAUCAAGCAUCUACAAUAGAGUAAAAUAUCACUUGUUCAUUUGCUGGAUGCCACAUCAAUGUAAGGUGGAGCUAAUAUAUUCCCAAAUAAGCUCCCAUAUGUUCAGCGCAGAUACAUCAGUGCACGGGAAUACAAAGAACUUAAAACAAGUCCAGAUGGCAAGAAAAUCUUUUCCUCGAUGGCUCGAUCAGCCAUUAAUAAAGGUCAUGUCUGACCGAAAAUUAGUUGCCUAAGAAACAUAUGCUAUUGCACAAGAGAGAGGAGGUUUAGUAUUAUACCCUUCGAUCUUCAAGAUCAGCAACAUCAUCAUCAACCUCAUCCUCACUAUCCUGAUCUGACAAAACUUGUUCCAACAUCAUCGGCUUCAAGCAUAAAAAUAAUAAUUAGAAAUACAGUGCCGCACAUUCUAAGCAAUAGUGUCAUUUAAAUAUAUGAGCCAAAGAGAAACUAAACUAGUGACACCUGUCGGCCUCUGGAGCUAGCAACUAAGCAAACGGCACUACAAUAAAAAUAGGCUAAGACCACAAUUGAGUUGUGCCCUUUUCAUUUUCAAUGGCACAAAAGCAUAUUUGUGCUUUUUAAAUUUUAUUGAACACAAAACUAUUUCAAACGUUCCCUUACUUUGUGUCCAAAAAAAAAAUGGAAAGUGUAUUUGUUCCUAUUAAAACUUGAGCAUGAGCACGAAAGUUUGUAUGUACCAUCAAUAAAAUUUGGAAGUGACUUCUCGAUAUCCGUAAUUCUAGGUUUUUUUUAUUAAUUUACAAGAACACGAAAAUCAUUUUUGUGUCCUUUGUAUUAUUAUAUUUAAAUAAAAAUAAUUUUUUUGCCCUAUUUGUCUUGAUUUUUUAGAACAUAAGCUCACAUAUUUAUUUUUUAUUAUUUUUUGAAUAACCUGUGGCCCACCCACACUUCAACCUUUCACGGAACCCGUCCACCUUUCCGAAAAAAUUAGAGGAUUAAAUAUGAUUCUAGGACUAAGAUUCUUUUUUCUUCUUUUUUCAUUUUUUUUAAAUAUCUUCAAAGGAAAUGUAAAAAAUAUACACAUAAAUUAUAAUAGUAAAAAAAAGAUCACACUAAUAUUCUCAGUGUCAAAUCCUAUGUGGCGAUGACAUGGAUUGGCAGAAAAAAAAUGUUGUUGUCAAAUUUGACAACAGCUUCAAAUGUUUUUUUAAUUAAUUAUUAAAUGUAUUUUAUUAAUUUUUAAUUAGUUUAAUCAUUUAUUAUAAUUAUGUUGAGUUGACCGAUGCAAUUUUCUUAUUUUUUUCUUCUUUUCAGUCAAGGAAUGUGAACAGAUUACUGAUUAAACUUUAAAUGUCAUAUAUUAAUUUUUAAUUAGUUUAAUAAUUUAUUAUAUAAAAUAAUCAAAUAAUAAUUUAAUUUGACAUAUCAGUUGGAGAACAAAAUUUUAAAAGAUGUCAAAGUACCACAUAAGUUGUCAAAAUUUAAAUUUUAUGUUCAAAAUUUAAAUUUUAUGUUCAAAAUUUGACAUCUCUUUUGGAGAUGGUCUUACCUUCUCUCACACUCUUUAUUUUGUCUUUCUCUUUCUUUAAAAAAUAAAUAUAAGAUGUUUCCAGGAAAGGGGAGGAUAAAAAACAGAGGAGAGAAUCCUACUACAUGAUUCCAGUAACUAAAGAUGUAGUGCUUAUCAAAUCAUAAGUUUCUUAUUGCUUAACAAAGAAAUCGCUAUUCUAACAAAUCUUCUUCCUUCUUCUCAGAAUGACGAAUCUCUCAUUAUAAGAAAAAUGGCUUUUGGGUACGAAAUUAAGGACAGAAAAAAUAGGUUGUGUCUUUCUGAAAACCAAUAAGGUGAAAAAGUGCCAAUAUAUGAUAUAGGGCACGUAUUGUGCCCAAUGUAAAAUUAAUACAUUAUUGCUUGUACUAAGCACGAAUAAGCAUGUAAAUUUGAAAAUCAAAUUUUUUUCUGACAACUAUAUAAAUAAAUGGACUUAAUUAUGUCAAUUGAGUCCAAUUUUUACUUUUAAAGACACAAUUAUAUUAGUACUUUAUUACUUUCUCAAAGACUUAUGCCCACCCACAGUCAUCUUCUCUCUUCCCUUAAACCCACCCACACCACACAAAUUUCUAUCAUCCACCCAAAGCUCUCUCUCUCUCUCUCUCUCUCUCUCUCUCUCUCUCUCUCUCUCUCUCUCUCUCUCUCUCUCUCUCUCAGCCAAACAAAAUCAUAUGUUCAUCUAUCCUUUUCUCUCUCUCAUUCCUCUUAGAUCUAGGCUUUACCUUCUAUUCGGGCAAAGAUUUCGACCCUUGCACAGCUCCCCUUGGCAGCUCUGGCACUUGGUGAUGUGAGUGUUGGGGUCUUCUUGCUAGUUGGUACACUACAAGAAGAAUACAAAGUUAGUUAUGAAAUGUGCCUUUGUGGGGCCUUAGGAGUAGGUCUUGAGGCUCGCAAUCAAAACUAACAAAGUGCUUAGGCGUGCCACUGCUAUCUCAGUAUAGCAAAUGUAGAACAAGUGUGUUUUAAAUUGAUUACUUGUGCCCCAAGUUACUCAAACUUCUUGUUAUCAAAGGAUUGUCACAGAUUGGUUAAGUUUGCAUUAAGUUCUUUUUCUUGCCUUGUAAAUAAGGACUUUUAGUUCAUGAUCUUGUAUGUUCGAAUGGAGGGAGUCCAGAGCCCUUUAAGUCAUUUGUUUGAUUCCAAGUUGCUCUUAAUGAAAACAUAUCUAUUAAGUUAACCAGAUCUAGAUGCAAAUGAGACUCUUAAAAUAGAAAACAAGUGGAAAUGACUUGAAUACAUGCUGAAAAGUGCAUUAAGCAAUAAAUCUAAUAAUUUAGAGAACAAACAAAGAGACUCUGGAAAGAUUUCACCUUGUCUGGCAAGGUUGAACUUCUUGCAGCCAUUUCUCUUUGAGUUUAUAGAGGUUGUAUGUUAAAAAAGGGAUGAAUGGUAAACAGGUUUACACGAGGGAAUCGAUACUACAACACUAAGGGAGGUAGCAGAGCUUUUAUACUAGACAAAAUAACGCUUUUCUAAGAGAACUAUUGCUAAAAGGACUGAAUCUGGGUUGAUUUCAACUUUUUGGAUGCAAAUCUGGCUUAAGAGCAGAGUUUGUAUGUUUGUUUGUUUGUUUGAUGGGUGAGUUUCUUUGUCCCUGAUGCUUGCUUCCCCUUUUAUAGGCAGUUUGGGCCGACUGCUUUUAGUUCUACUCUUGCUCGAAAGCUCUUUGAGGAUAGUAAGUCAUCAUUUUUUAACUUGUAGUGCCACUGGAAAAUGUUUCUUGGUUGAUAGUAGGUUAGUCUUUAUCAGUUGUCACUUAUGUUAUAGACACGUGGCUUGUGUCUUGGCUGAGAAACCUUUACACUAACCCACGAUCCUCAACGUUAACUAACUUCCUUACUAUAUAAUCUUCACUUAAAUCUCUCGGCUAAAUACCUUAGCCAUUUUAAUCCUUCGAAUUUCCAGAAUUCUCAGACUUUCCAGAACCUUCUUGCUUCUUGUUCUUUCUCGCUUUCUGCCUUCAAUUAUUUCCUACUUUCUCUUCAAAAUCAAUCAAUGGCACCCAAAGUUGUUCAACCUUCCUGUGAAUCUGGCAAACAGAUUGUCACCAUGCGCCAUUUGCCCAACGACCUUCAUCGCGAUUGGGCUGGUCUGCAAACUUCACUUUUCUUCGAAGAGGUAGGAGUGCACUCUCUGGGAUCUACAUGGACCAGAUCCCAAUUGCUAUGAAGAACAAUAUGCCCAAGGCUAAAUGGUUCACCCCCAACCCAUAUUCUGACAAGGCUGGCAUUUCGGCCUCCAAGUGGUUGAACCAUUGAAAAGGUUUUCCUUUGAUAAAAGACGAAGGUUGGACACAAUGGCUAAACGAGCUUAAGCCUAUUUUCAUGAAGAAGUGGAUGAAAAAUGUCAUAUACGAGCUGAUAAUGCUUUCCAAGAUCACCGUGAUUGCCAAGCCCAAGUUGCUAACCACAUCUCUUAUAUUUUGGAACAACGAGACCAACACCUUUGAUUUCAGGAUGGGUCCCAUGUCCCCAACCAUUCUUAAUAUGGCUCAAGUUUUCAGGCUAAGGCCCUCAGGCAGAGUCAUGGAUGUUACCCACAACUGGUCUUCCCCAUCUCGCCUGACUGUUGAGAGCUUGGGCACUUCUGAUCUCAUAACUCGGUUGGAGUACACCCCUUCAACCUUCAAGAGUUAUGGGACCUCUUUCGCAGGCUUCAUCCUGUUUGCUAAGAAGGACUAGGAGCACAUGUACUUUCUCUUGUACUGGCUCAACAAGUAUGUCUUCUUCAACAAAUCUAAAUGGGUAAAGGUUGAGUGGAUUCCUUUGGUGGAAGCUCUCCACUCUUUUGAUGAUGUAGCUACGGGGCCAUUCCUCAUCGCACCUCUACCACCUCUUAUAUGAGAUGACCAGAGGCACACCCUUUGAGACCAACCUCAACGGGCUAACCUGGAUGGUCCAGUUGUGGCUACAAUGGUACUUCCCCGAGCUUUGGGCACCAAAAUUAGAAUUCCUUGAAAGUGUUGCUCCUACCCGCAUCUUAGUAGAGGCUUCUCCUACCAACCAUUCAACAUUUUAUGUCUCUACUUCUUUAGAGUUUGCCACAUUUGGGCAGACUUAGAGUGGGGAGCUUAAGUACUGAGAAAAUACCCUUGGUUUCAUACCAAAUCUUCCAGGAUGCCUUCGAGGAUGAUGUUAGUGCCUUCUGCAAGGAGAAGUUUAUCAGCUGCAUCCAGCAGAGAGAUCUAGCCUAGGGGGUGAUGAGCGACCGUUAUGAACACGGGCUGGAAGUUUACCACCCGAACUUUUACAGUAGGCAUCUGAGGUUUAGACAAGUCAUCGCAGUGCCUUUCUUUGACUCUGUGCAUUGCGGCACCUCCUACCGUCUCCACUCUCCUUUGGAAGUUAUGUUUCGAGCAGCUCGGUGUAGCUUAGAAGUGAUGAACAAAAUCACCUAAAAGCUCGUGGCGUUAAACUUCGAGUGUACUCCCUCAUUUUCUACUUGGUAGGAAGCCAAGUGGACCAAGAAGUGUGGAGUGGAUAUCAGGGAGUCUCACGAUCGUUUCUUCGGGCAACUCAUCAUUAAGUCAUAUCCCAAGCUGAGCAAGCUUGAAAGCUGGAAAGAGGUGAUUCAUUAGAAGAACCAGCUUCUUCUAAUAGGUAACCUUUGUCGUUUCUAACUUGUAUUUUAUGAUUCUUUUAUAAUUUGCUUUCCACUAAUCCUUCCCUUGGUUAUCUUGGAAUUUGCAGCCCAAGGCAUUACUGAAAAAGUAGACGUUAGGCUAGAUGAAGAAGCUGCAGACGAACUUGUCCUCCAAAGGGCUGCAACUGAUGCUCCAAGGCAAUGAGUUGGGUUUAGCAAGAAGGAGAGGCUGAGGAUCUCUUUAAGUAGUUUGGAGACUCUGAGGGCGAGGUUGAGCCUAUAGCAGAGGUUCGGGAAACCAGGUGGACGAGGGCAAUAGUGGUGGAAUCUUCUAAGUUUAAGCCUGAUGAGCAAUAGUGGUGGAAUCUUUUGAGUCUGAGCCCAAUAAGCAACCUUAGCCUCCACUCUCUAUACCAGGUCUGCGAGUAACCCCCAUGAAGAAGAGAAUUAAGGCUAAAACUUCCAAAGCCUCAAAAUCUUAUAAGUCAUAUGCUGCUUCUUCAAUUAAGGCGGGCAGGAAAAAGCAGAAGUCUUCCAAUAAGUGAACUUCAUCUCAAUCUUUUCCUAACUGCAAUUUCCCUUCAUUAAAUAAUAACUCACCUACAUUUGCUUCAAGAGAGGAACCCUUGGGCGCCAAGAUGUACUAGAGGGACAUGAAGCUUCUUGAAGUUAUCUUUGAGGAUGUGAAAGUAUGGACACUAUCCUUUUAAGUAUUAAAUCACUUUUUCUUUUAAAUUCACUUCCUUUAAACCCCUGUAUUAAUCUUUUACCUGACUGUUUAACAUAGGUCACCAGGGAAGAAAGGAUCUCCCAGCCUGAGGCUUCUUCUUCUCCUGCACAAGUAGUGUAUGCUUCGCCUUCUUGGGCUAAAUCUUAUAAGGUAUAUUCCUUUUUCACUCUUGGUUUAGUCUUUUAACCCUCAAAAUACUGACAGACUUCCUUAUUCUUUCCCUAGGCGAAGGUUGGGGCACCAACUCCUCAAGUCCGGCAAGGCUCAAUUCCCAUCUCUUUUACUUCUCCUCAUUCUACAUUGGCCAACUUACCAAUUUGACCCAAGGACUGGGGAGAUGCUGCACUUUGUGAAGGACAACAGUAACUUGGUGAAUAUUUUUCUUUAGCUUGAACUUUUUUGUCUUUAAACUUUCUCUUUAUUUAUACUUAUAUUUUACUUUGUUUUUCAGUCAUCCCUAGCACAAAAGAUCAACCAACCACGUUCAACUUCAUUUGGGAUGCCCAUAGUCCCUGGAUCCUUGUGGUCUCAGAAGUAACUAGCCCACGGGCUUCCCAAACUACUCAUCGGGCCAGCCUGCCUGCUCCUUCUGAGGCAGUUGUAAAAACAAAAGUGCGUAUCCCCCAACCUCAAGCUUCAUCUCAAGCAACAAUAACUCAUCCACCUUCUAAGGCUCCGAGCUUAACCCAGGUACACUAAGUUCCCUUGUCUAAUCUUUCAUUUAACUUACUAUCUUCUUUGACUCAUUUUUCCUUGGUUUGCAACAGGGUCCUAGAGAGGGUUUAGGAAAACUCCUCAUCCCUUGGUGCGCAAAGCAGCUCUUCCGAGGCCUCUAUUGGCUUCUGGGGUCAUGGGGGUUCCAAUUCCUCGGCCUAAGAAAAAGAUCAAGGCUGCUACCUCCAUUCUGACUUUUGGACCUCAUCCUUCAAUUAUUUCUAAGGCUACCCCUUCUACUGCUGCCACUGGAAGUGUUAGGGUACUGCCCCCAACUCUAACAUUUAUUCCUGCAAUGGCAUCUUUGACUGAGCUUGUUAAAAAGUUUAGGCAAAUCAAGACUAAGUUGCAGUCUCCCUCUCAUCCUUCUGAGCCUCAACUUCUUUAAAAUGCAUGCCAAAUUUUCAAGGAGUGGAUGAGGAGAGACUUCAUAGUUUUUUGCAGCCUUAAGGCUCUUUAUGAUGCUGAUAAGGCCUUGACUGAGCUCUACAAGGCUCAAUUAUUGUCGAAGGCUCAAUAUGAGUUUUUUCUUUACUUAUUUGAUAAUCUGCGAGAGCUGAGGGAUCAGCAUCAGCGGGCAAAGCAGACAUCCAACAGAGUGAGGUCUUACCAAGAAAAAUACACUCAGACUUCAACCAUACUUCAACAGUUGGUAGAGGAAGGAUCCGCUAUGGAAGAUAGGAUAGUAAUGGUAGAUUCUACGAUCUAAAAGUUGGAGGAGCCGUUUUCUUCUUUGAAGGCUGAGAAGUUGAACCUGGCCAACCAACUUUACAAGAAAAUAGAAGAGGUAGAGAAGGUAAACCAGGAAGUUGAAGCCUCUGAAGUCCAAUUGGCCAAUAACAAUAUGUACCUAGAAGAACCUGGUCGAAUUUUUGUAAUCAUGCAGGCCUAUCAUUCUAGGAUAGCUACAUUAGCCAAGGAUGUGAAACUAUUAAAUUAAAGCUUUUGUGACUUCCUUCUUUUGCUGAAAUAAAAGACUUUUCUUCAUAUAAUCUUGUCAUCAUAUUUUUUGAAGUUCUAACUGCACCAUCUAACUUUAUUUCUUCUUGAAAUAACUAACCCUCAUCAAUAUAAUAAUCCCUGACAUCCCAUAGAGUUGGAAGAUGUUUCUUUAAAAACUUAGUAUUAACUGGAUGCCUUUACAAGUUUCCUUCCAAAUCUGCCAUGUAAUAUCCUCCAUUAUCCAAUACUUGGUUGAUAAUGAAAUGACCCUCCCAAGUAUGGCUUCACUUCCCAAAGCCUCUGACUUGUGCUCCCAUGGCAGAAUUGCCUUCCAUGCCAACUCUUCUUCCUUGAAGUUUUUUAACUUUACCUUCUUGUUAUAAGCUCGGGAAACAGCUUUCUUCCCUUUUUGAAUUUUGUUUAAAGCUUCAAUUCGGGCCACAUCUAGAUCUUCAACUUUUUGGCACAUAACUUGAAUGUAUUUUUCGCUAUGUAGCCUAAACUGGUUUUGAAUUCUAAUAAAGCUCACAUUAAUUUCCAUAGGUAAUACAACAUCUUGCCCGAAGGUUAGGGCAUAAGGAGUAGUUUCAAUUCCUACCCUCUUGGAGGUUUUGUAAGCCCACAAAGUGUCUCUUAACUUCUCAUGCCAUUUCUCUAGACUAUCUACUAUCAUCCUCUUUAUAAUAUUUACCAAGAUCUUGUUCCUGGCCUCUGCUUAACCAUUUGAUUGGGGGUAAUAGGGAAUGGUCUGGAUCAUUUUUAUCUUGAAUUUACUUGCAAAUUCCUCUACUUCUUUUAAAAUAAAAGAUGUCCCACGAUCUGUAACAAUCAUCUCGGGCACCCUAUAUCUAUGUAAGAUCUUAGUUUCAAUGAACGUCUUGACAUCAGUUGAAGUAAUAGUCCUUACAGCUGAAGCUUCUACCCACUUGGUAAAGUAAUUUGUUGCCACAAUUAUGAAUGUGCGUCCCUUGCUAGAAAAUGGGUAAAUUUGCCUGAUGAAGUCCAUUGCCCAUCCCUGAUAGACCAAGGCUUUACCACAGGAUUCAAGGGUAUUGAUAGCACAUGUUGGAGAAGUCCAUGUCUUUGACAUUCUUCACACCCUCGGGCAUAAGCUUUGCAAUCUUUCUCCAUCUCGAGCCAAAAAUAACCAUAUCUUCUGAGCAAUUAUCUCAUAUUAGUUCUAGCUUGAUGUGACCCACAGAUUCCUUCAAGUACUUCGGCCAUCACUCUCAUUGAUUCUUCUUGGCCUAAGCAUUUCAACAACAGUCCAUCUGGAGUCUUCGUUAGCAUAGAUUCAUCCCACAUGACAUACUUAGUUACUUGUUGUCUAUUCUUCUUACUUAUGGGGAAAGAAGGGUUUUUCGGUACUAAGUAAUGGGUGUUCUCCAGUCCUCUAUCUCUGGUUCUUUAGCCAUCACAUCCAGGUUGAAUCCUCUCUCAAAGAUAUAAGGUAGGGCUCUCCUUUGUACUUCUACAUCUACUUCAAACCCUCUUUCUUGGAUCUGCACAAGCUAACUGUGCCAUCUCAUUAGCAAUUGAAUUUGACUCUCUGGGGAUAUGAUUGACUGAUAUUUUAGUGUCCUAAUAACUUAAUAGCUGAGUAGCUGCCAAAUAAUAACCAGCCAUGGUGAUGUGUUUGCACUUAUAUUCCCUAUUCAGCUGAUUGAUCACCAACUCCGAUUCUCCAAACACUUCAACUUCAGUUGGCCCCUAACUCUAUCAAGAUUUCUAGGCCAAUUAUCACUGCCUCAUAUUUUGCCCGAUUGUUGGUAGUAUCUUGGUAAUCCAGAAGAAAUGAAUAUCAGUGUUAAACCCCAUGAGGAUCAAUGAUAACAAUCCCAGCCCUAGCAGCAUGUUGAGUGCAAGAUCCAUCAAAAUACAGCCUCAAUGAGUGAUCCAUAGGCUGGUUAUUCUCUUUACUUCUUGCUGAAUCCAUUCGUCCUUGCCCGAGUGAGCAUUACUUGGUGGAAUCCAAACACUGGCCACCUCAAAGGUUCCUGGGACGUUGACUAGUUUAUCCUGUGGUUCUUAGUGCUCGGCCAAGAAGUCUGCAAUUGCUUGCCCCUUUAUUGCUCUUUGAGGCACAUAUUGAAAAUUGAACUCUGACAGUGCUAGAAUUCAUUUUUUCAAUUCUCCUAACUAGCAUUGGUUUUGAUAGCAUGUACUUGAUUACAUCUGUCUUGGCAAUAAUGUGGAUGUGGCAAGGCAAUAUGUAAUGUCUUAGCUUGCAAGUAGUGAAGUACAAAACUAAACACAACUUCUCCACUGGGGUAUAUCUUGUUUCUACCUCAGUAUGGAUUCUACUGAGGUUGUAUAUUGCUUACUCUUUCCCACCUUCAUUGUUUUGGGCUAACAAACUUCCUAAUGACUUUUCAGAAGUAGAGACGUAAAGUUUUAAAGGCUUCCCUAUCUGAGGUGGCAUGAGCACUGGUGGAGAGGCUAGGUAAGCCUUUAUUCUGCCAAAGGCCUUUUGGUGUGGUGGGCCCCAUUCGAACUCUCUUUUAUCUUUCAAUCUUAAUAGAAGAGUCAAUGACUGAAUCUUGCUUGCCAAGUUAACAAUAAAUCUCCUUAGUAAGUUGAUUUUUCCCAAUAGCCUCUGCAGUUGUACUUUAUUGGUAGGAAGAGGCAAUUCCAUUAUUGCCCGAGCUUUAUUUUUGUCUACCUCUACCCCUCUUUGAUGAACAAGGAAUCCUAAAAAGUUGCCCGAUCUUAUCCCAAAAGCAUAUUUCUUAGGAUUCAUUUUCAACUUAUGGGUACUCAUUCUUAAUAAGGCUUGUCUGAGGUCUACUAAGUGUUGUUCUUCGGUUUUAGACUUCACCACAAUGUCAUCAAUGUAUACUUCCAUGCUAUGGCCAAUCAAGUCAUGAAAAAUGGCAUUCAUUGCUUUUUGAUAAGUUGCACCGGCAUUUUUUAGUCUGAAUGGCAUUACCAAGUAUUCAUAUGCUCUGAUAUAUCUUGGGCAUCUAAAAGUUGUCUUAUGUAUAUCUUAUUUAGUCAUUUUUUUUUUAUUAUAACUAGCAUUUCCAUCCAUGAAAGAUAGAACUUUGUGUUUUGCAACUGCAUCUAUGGAUAAGUCAGCCAUGGGCAUGGAGUAUUUGUAUUUAGGAGUGGCUCCAUAAUGUUUCGAUCAACACAACACCGAACUUCAUUAGUUAUAGCUUUUAAAACAAGUACAAUGUUGGCCAACCACUCAACAUACUUGGCAAGCCUAAUAAAUCCAUCAUUUCGAUCUCUUCUUUGACAUUUUCUUCUAUCUCUUUUAACAUUCUUCGUGGUGCUUGCUUUACAGGUUUAUAUCCCUCCUUAAUAGGCAUCAUGGGUUCUACUAAGGUUGAAUCUAAACCUGGCAUUUUGGUGUAAUGCCAAGCAAAACAAUCUUUAAACUCGUGCAGAAGGCUAACCAUCUUUGCCCGAUCUUCUGCUUCUAACAGGCCGCUGAUUUGUAUAGGCCUUGGAUCUUCCUUAGUUCCCAAAUCAAUGAUUUCUAAGGGGUCUUGUACCUUUAGUGCUGGCUUGUCAGGUUCUUUACAUAAAAAUUCAACUGACUCUAGGCCCUCUGGCAUGUCAUCGGGCCAAUCUAAGUCAUAUAUACAUUCAGCCAUAUGUAUGGUUGCCUUUAUCUUUUUCUCAAAAAACUCAUAUUCUCUUGUGUUUUGGCUGCUUGAAGCUUUUUUCUUGGCUGAGCUUUCCCUUUCUUGAUUUCUCUCUACCGUACACCAAUAGUCUAUUGAUUAAGGACCCGACUGCAACUACUUGGUCCUUUCUUUUUUGUCCUGACGUUACUGGUGUUGGGGAGCUGGGAUGAUAUGGGGUAUAUCCCAUUCUUCCCUAGUGAGAAACAAUCUUUGUUCUAAGAGCCUUUGGAUUGUCACCUUAGUCGAGCAACAUUUUUAAUUAGCUCAUAGGCACUGGAGAAUCCCAACAAUGAGAUUGUAAAAACUGGCUUUUGUAACAUUGGUUGUAGGGAUAAAUGGUUGUGAUUCAGCCUCUACUAUCUCUUAAAAUCAUGGUCAUAUAGCCCUUUUAUAGUGGUAAACAAAUAUUUUUUAAUGCAGGAUGGAAGACACGGAAAUACUUUGGUGAAUCCAAUCUCUGCUAAGCAAGGCUCCAUAAGCGGAACUGUUAUCCACCACAAAGAAAGCUAGCAUGAUUUGCUUGGAUCCCAAGUCAAUUUCCAAGAGCAAUAUCUCAUGCGUUCUGGUAAUGGUCCUAGAAAAGCUAGAAACUGUUAAGUCAGUAGGAAUAAGAUCUUCCUCACUCCUCCAUAACUUUUUCAUUUAUUUUAGUGGCACGUUGACCGCAGCUCCUCCAAUUAAAACCCUCUUGAAGGGCACCCCCUACAGAUGAGCAAUUACAUAUAUUGGUUUGAGAUGGUUAGCUAAGGCCAUACAUGGGCAACUGAAGACCAUCCUAUUAGAAUACACUCUCCCGGGCUCUCUCCUUAGAAGUCCAGGCAAACCUGUCGGACUGGACUCUUCUUUUCCUGUUUCCUCAACACUAACAUGUGGCAUCAUAGGUUUUAUUGCCAAAUAAUCACCCUCAAUUGUAGCAGGCUAAUCAGGCUCAGCACAAAACAUGGCAAAUAAUGCAUAUGUUAUGUUUACGUGGAAGUUGCUAGGUCGAGGUGAAUCAUCAAUCUUCCCUCUAAUAUGGUCCGUGAAUUCAUUUAACCAGGUAUGUGCUUCUUUUGGUAACAUUAGUUUGAGAAAUUCUUCCUCCCUAGUUAUACCAAAGUUUGGCACUUGCCCUGGGAUUUCACAAAGGGUUUCAAACAACAAAGGUGAAGGUAUUCCCCUAUCAGGUGAAAUAGUUCCAAAACAUAUUGGUCUUGGACUUCAUUUUGGGGUUAGCAUCGUUAUCAUAUCUUCUUAAGCUCUCUUCAAGAUUCUGUAAUUCCCCGAAUGAAGGUUUUAUGGCACAUGAUCCUUCUCCCUCAGUCUUGCUAUUGCCCUUUCCACCUUAUUUUUGCUUCUCAAUUGAAGUUGAUUUCUCCCCCCAUGUGGCACUUUUCAAACUUCACAUUUUCGGAGGUUUCUGAUGUAGCAGGGACUUUUAAUGAUUUCAUAUGGGCUUUGUGUUACCUUUAAACUCUCCUAAUCAUAGAAGCUCCCACCUCCUUUACUAGUUUUCCAUCCUGCCCCCUUUACAUACCAUUUUCGCCCGAGUCGAGCAUAAUCCUUUUUAGUGACUGGGGAUACUAGGUUUUUUGUUCUUCCUUUCAUUAUAACAUCAUUAUAACUUGGUUGGGAAGACCUUACAUCCAUCCAUUUUGGCAUUUUGGCCUCUUUAUCCUCCACUUCUUUUGAGGCUUCAUAAUUUCUAAAUACCUCGGACAAACCUUUUGAUUCAGAGUCCCCUCCUAACCUUUGGAAGACAUUUCUGGAGGUUUCCUUCUCAAUUGUCCGUCUGAUAUUCUUGCAAGCUUCUUGCUCUUCUUUCUCUCUUCUCCUGAUCAAUUCUUAAUCAAUAAUAGCUUAUGAUGCUGGACUUCUAGCUUAACUCACACUGGCACUUGCUACACAACACCACCCCUUUGACUAUGGCUGCUUUAGGUCUCUCAGGCAACAUGAUAGCUCCUUCUGUAAGUCUGUCAACUUACCUUCUCUCUGCCCAAGUCAGGUUGAUCAUGUUUAUUGGGCUCUUUGGGAAGGGGUUUGUGUCAAUCAUCAUGUUGGCCUGGGGUUUCUCCAAUAGCAACUUUCCCUUGACUAUGAGCUCUUGUAUCCAGUCCUUGAACUGUACACAGUUGGUUAUGAAUGGUUGAAGGUAUAGUGUAGCUUGCAAUACUUAUUUCCUCUUAAUUCCUCGGGCUUAGGCAUCUUUUUUAUGCUGUCGGGCACAAUCACUCUUACCCGCACCAACUCUUCAUAGAUCUCUGAGGCUUUGGUUAAAUCAAAAGAAUAACUAUGGUAUUUAGGGAGCUUCAUAGGGACAAAUCCACCAUCAUUCAUCAUUACUUUUUUAUCUUUGACUGGCUAGACCAACCCUUUUACCAUUAAAAGUUUGAAGGGAGUAGUAAUCUCUGCUGCUCACAUUUCCAUUCCCUCUUAUCCAUGACCAUUAUUUUCUUCUGGCGCUGCUCUUUCAAACUCUAAUUGGUGAAUUCCAGCUUUAUUCUUGUAAAAAUGAGGCACCUUGGAUGAGUGUUUCACUUGUUGUUCCUCAAUGAACACCUUGGAUGAGUGCUCCAUUUGCCCCCAAUUAGCAAUGGAAUUACGAGGCAAUAGAGAAUACCAUUGAGACGCUAGGCCAAUCAGCGAGUUACUAAACAAUCUUAACUUAUAGUUAGGAUUGUUUUCAAAUGCUAUGCAAUGGUUGGAAAACUUGAAGAUAUGAUCUCUAGAUGACACAUUGCCAUCUUCUCCACUAAAAGUUAGGAACGCGGGCAUCUUAAAGUUGAGGGGAACGCGGGCAUCUCUGGAUGACACAUUGCCAAAAUUAUGUUCAGGCAAAGAAUUCGACCCUUGCACGACUCUCCUUGGCAGUUCUGGCACUUGGUGAUGUGAAUGUGGGGGUCUUCUUUCUAGUUGCUACACUACAAGAAGAAUACAAAGUUAGUUCUGAAAAGUGCCUUUGUGGGACCUUAGGAGUAGGCCUUGAGGCUCGCAAUCAAAACUAACAAAGUGUUUAGGCGUGCCACUGCUAUCUCAGUAUAGCAAAUGUAGAACAAGUGUAUUUUAAAUUGAUUACUUGCGCCCCAAGUUACUCAAACUUCUAGUUAUCAAAAGAUUGUCAUAGAUGGGUUAAGUCUGCAUUAAGUUCUUUUUCUUGCCUUGUAAACAAGGACUUUUAGUUCAUGAUCUUGUAUGUUCGAGUAGAGGGAGUCCAAGGCCUUUUAAGUCAUUUGUUUGAUUCCAAGUUACUCUUAAUGAAAACAAAUAUAUUAAGUUAACCAAAACUAGAUGCAAAUGGGACUUUUAAAAUAUAAAACAGGUGGAAAUGACUUGAAUACAUGCUGAAGAGUGCAUUAAGCAAUAUAUAUAAUAAUUUAGAGAACAAACAAAAAGACUUGGGCAAGAUUUCACCUUGUUUGGCAAGGUUGAACCUCUUCAACCACUUCUCUUUCAGUUUACAGGGGUUAUACGUUAUGGUAAACAGGUUUACACAAUGGAAUCGAUACUACAACACUAAGCGAGGUAGCAUAGCUUUUAUACUAGGCAAAAAAGUGCUUUUCUAAGGGAACUAUUGCUAAAAUGACUGAAUCUGGGUUGAUUUCAGCUUUUUGGAUGCAAAUUUGGCUUGAGAGCAGAGUCUGUAUGUUUGUUUGUUUGAUUGGUUGAGUCUCUUUGUUCCUGAUGCUUGCUUCCCCUUUUAUAGGCAAUUUGGCCCGACUGCUUUUAGUUCUACUUUUGCUCAAAAGCUUUUUGAGGGUAGUGAGUCACAUCUUUUUACUUGUAGUGCCACUGGAAAGUGCUUUUUGACUGAUAAUAGGUUGGUCUUCAUCACUUGUCACUUCUGUUAUAGACACGUGGCUUGAGUCUUGGCUGAGAAAGCUUUAGUUUGUUUCUGAACUCGAGUCUUCGUUUAAUUUGGCAUCUUUGAACCUUCCUUCAUCCAAGCCCAAUAUUCAAAUAUUAACCCAAACACCUUCAUUUUUUUCUUUGAAAAACACCAAAACCACUCAUGCAUCAUAUUUGAGUUUGUGCUUUUUACAUUUUGAGUUUAUAUCUUAUGAGAUCUGGCAUACAUAUUUUCAAGUCUCGCCUCGAUCUUUAUGGAUUUGAUAUUUGGAAGCAGAAAAGAGGAAGGCGAAGAGGAUGGUGAAGGAGGUGGCAACCUAUGUCAGGAUGAAAAGGUCAAGAUCUCUUCUUUCUCUUGCAUGCAGAAGUAAUUUCAUUUUCGUAUUGAACUUAUAAUUUGGGUGAUUUGCAAUUUUGUUAUGCAUUUAAUUAAAAGCACCUAUUCAAUUUUGCAAUUUUGUUGCUUUGUUCUUUUUCCCUUCAUUUAUGUUGGUUUUGUAAGAUAUGUGGUUUUUUUAUCUUUGAUUUGGUUUUUAUUCAUAACUUUGGCAGAAAGAAGUUCAGAUUUCACAUAGACCAUCCUGGUGACUUAAUUUAUGGAGCAACAAAGAUGGGAUGUAAGUGCAAAGGUUUCCACAGAAGAGUAAUUUUCAAGUCUUUUUAAUUAGGGAUAAAAUAUGUAAAAUUAAAGUUGUUUUAAUAUAUUUCAAUGGAUAGUUUCGAAUGUCGUAAAUUGUAAUAUUCCAGAUGCUUGUGCUUGUGGGCAGCUUUCAUUUUUGGAAAAGAAUUUUUUUUUUUUUUUUUUUGGCCUCUAUUUUGGCUGCCGGGAGUGUUUAUAUUUUUUUUCUAUAAUUUUUUAAUUUUUAAUUGAUAGGGCACGAUUACAAAAAUUGUGUGAAUACGGAUGGGAAAGUCUUCUAACAACCUUGUCAGAACAAGGCACAAAAAGGCUCUUAUUUGUUCUUAAAUGUUAGAGCGCAAAUGACCAUAUUGUGCCUGACACGCCCCGACCCUGAAAUUCCCCGAAUACCAGGAUAGACAUGUGAUGGCCGACACCCGAAGUUGACGAAAGCCAUUAAUUGAUACAAAAGCUAAGAAUAAGAAAUGAAUAAGGGUUAGAAAUUUAAAAUACAAUGAAAUAAUAAUUUAGGAACGUGCUCAGAGCAUACAACUAAACCUAAUCACUAAAAAGAAUUAAGAUAAAAUUGAACGAAUAAAAGAGUGGGUCCUACAUCGAGAGGAUUCAAAGAUGUUGUUGGGGAAGUGUCUUGACGCCGGGAUUUGGUGCCUUGAUCCUAAGUUCUAAAUGGGGGCGCAAAACAAAUGUGAGUGGACCAAGUUCAUAUAUAUAUAUAAUAAUAAUAAAACAGUUAUCAAUGUACUAACCCCCAUAGUUUAUAUAUAAUGAAAACUACUAGCAUAAUAAGUUAUGGAUUUAAUAAAAAUCCUAGCAUGCCAAAAAUAUCUCAAAAGUCAUAUCGCGGAAAUCAAAACAGUAAACGUAUCAUAGAUCGUCUCGUAAGCGUGGUGUGCUGCUAGAAAGAUCACUGAAUAAAUAUAACUUCCGGCCUAAUACCUGCUCCGUGGUCUCUGCGCCCGUAGCCAGAGAUUACCAACUCCCGGCCCAAUGCCUACUCCAUGUCCCUCAGCCCGUAGCUAGGGAUUAUUUCUCCCGGCCUAAAUGCCAACACCAGAUCCUCACCCCAGGCAGCAUAGUGUCCUCUAGGUACGCACAAAUAGUUACGCCUCUCAUAAAUAACCACUUCAUAGUAUAAAGUCAUCCAUCAUCUAUACUAUAAAGAAGGGUUUCUAAAACAUGUUCUAGCAUCCUAUCCUCAUCCAUCAGAUAGUCUACUAGAUCAUGGUUUUUAUAGACAAUACGAUAUAUCAAAAUAUAGCUCAAUAUAAGCCAACAAUUGAUUCCUCACCAAAAACACGAGACGAAAAUCAAUAUAUUUAAUAAACAGACUUCACAUAAAUCAAAUCAUAAACACGUAGGCAUGCUAAUCAUUUAUGCAAUUAAACUAUAAAAUGUAAUUAGAAGGGGUCCACUCACAGUACUUAGUUGCCAAAAGCUACGCCACUAGCGAAGACGGAAACGUCACAAUAAUUGCCCCUAAGCACAUAAAGAGUCCAAUAAAUAAAACUAUAUAAUAGCAAUUGAAUUGGGGAAAAUGGACAUUGGAAACGGAUUCAGAACGUUGAAUUACACUAAGAAGGGUCCCGAACGAAAACCCAAAAAGUCAACCCUAAAGUUAACGUUAACCCUCGGUCAACGGUCAAAUUAGGUCUAAUGGGUUUUAGGCUUGAAAUGCCGAUUAGGGUUUAGGUUUAGGUUGAAAUAAGGUUAGGAUCUAUUGAGUUUUGGUUUUGGAUAGGUUAGGUACAAAAUGGGUGGUUUGCGCUUAAGCCCAAAUCCACACACAACACACACACACACACACACACACUCACACACACACACUCAUAACCCAAAGGCCUCACAACCAAAAGGGUUGGGCUCGGCAGGGAAGGCCCAAAUGGCUUAGGUUUGGUGGGUCGCCGGACCCAAUGGGAAAGAAAGCCAGAAAUCGGCAGGAAAAUGCACAACCUUUAAAUGGCCAUAACUUUGUCAAAACUAAACGAAAUCAAGUUAUUCAAAAGCAAAAGUUGUAGCCCUCAAAGAGACGAAGAGAAUGUUACCUCACAUGACGUCUAACGAGCCUUGGUUUGGCCAAAAAAUGCCUUGAAACCCUCGAAGGUCGCCGGAAACUGGGUAAGAUUCAAAUGAGUAUAACUUCUUCAAUACUCAAUGAAAUUGAGUGAAACAAAAAGGAAAGUUGUAGUACUCGAUGACAUAAAGAGAUUGAUACCUUUCACUGUUGCCAACUCACUGUGGUUUGGCCGGAAAUUAUCUCGAAAGUGAUGGUGCUCGUCGAAAAAUAUGGAGAAUGCUCCCCGAGCUGUUUUCACGUUUAAACCUUCACCAAAAACCACUUUUUAACAACCACUAAGCCUUUUAGACUACCAGGGAGAAAGAUGGAAGAGUGGUUCAACUUACCUUUGUUGGAAAACACCUGCACAAUGACUGUGCAUAGUGCAAAAAAUAGACCGGAGAGGUGAGGGAGAGAAUGAAGGUCUGAGUGUUGGUGAUGGGUGGUGUCGUCUUCGUUGAUGUGGUGUGGAAGUGAGGGUGUGUGGGUUGGUUCACGGGGAGAAGGAGAGAGUGUAGAGAAAGAGCACGAGUAGAGAUGAGAGAGAGAGGGAAAAGAAAGAAUUGAGAGAUAAGAGAAAUCGGGGACACAAAAGCAAGGUGGGCCCUCUGGGCACACGUAUUAAGACCGAAAAACAAUUUUAAAAGCAAGAUAAACUCAAACUUAGUGAAAAUACAAUUUAAAUUAGGGGUGGGGUGUAACAAUCUACCCCCCUUAAAAGAAUUUCAUCUUCGAAAUUUAAAAUCAUUUACUAAACUGAAAUACUCGAAAAUAGGAAGAAGAAUAUAUGUAUAAAGAGAAAUCAAGUCAGAGUGGGUGCAUCAAAGAGAAUAUGCCACACCGUCGCGAGUGGGUUGCAAAAUCCUCUAUCAUGCCUCCAAACUCUUACUUUCAUUCUCAACAGUGUGAAAGUAGAAAACAUACUUUAUAAAGAUAUAAAGUCGAAAACGCAUAUUAACGUAAGGUCAAAAAUAUGUAUGUGAAAUACAAUAACAUCAAAAUAGAUAAGUAAUAACAUAUAGGUUGAAAACUCAAAUCAACUUAAAAAUGAAAAUAGAAAUACUUUUCCAAAAACAUUUGUAAUGUCAAAACAAUUAACUAGAGUAAAUGAAGUUAAAAUACUUAUACUGAAAACCAAAACUGAAAAAUGAGAGUGGGUCUUACCCAAGAAUUCGAAACGUUAUGUACUCUGAGAACAGAUGUGUCUUUAGGUCGAGCUCCAAGAAUCAAAAAUCCGUAACAACUGUCGUAGACGAGUCUUCCCGCCCAUUUGCUUAAUGAACCCAACAAAUAAGCUAUCGAUAUCAUAGUCUGCAACCCACAAUAUCGACCUCACAUUUGUUGUCUUGAUAAGAAAGUAGUAAUUUCUCAAAGGUGUACAAUUUCCCAUAUCGUAGGAUCGAUCAUCCAAAUACAAGUUCGCAAGACUUUUCUGUCAACCAAUAUUGUCCGUGAAAAACUCUUGUACCAUGUCGUAAAAAGUGCCAUACACCAAACCGAACAAAACAGAAAAUGUAGUCGUAACACUUUAUCCAGCACCAAGCAUCAAAUUCUCUUCAGUUUUAACUGUACCUUGGGAUUCAAUAGAAGUGGCUACCAUGUUAAAAGUAGACCCAAAAACUCGAACUAAGCAAGCAAAAAGCAAGAAGUCAUCUUCCUCAACACGCAGUAUCUCUUGGGAACUGUUGUAGUGCUCAAUCCACCUCUCCAUUUUUGCUUAGUUGCAUAUUUCUAGUCAACCAAGGUCAAAGUUAGUAGAAAGAAGAACGACUCGCAAAUGGUCAACCUAAAAACAAAAAAGAGUACACACCUUUUGAGAGAAGUGUAAAGAUUAUCCAAUUCUCGCUUCGACCGUCCUGUAGUGCCAUCCCAGAAUGCACCAAACAAAUCUGCUAGAAAUGUUUUAACAACCACGUACUCACAACAAUAAGGUUCAAAAGUGAAGCAGUGGAAAUAUGCGUUGAGACAAACACAUAUCGUUGGAAAAUAACCGAUAUGAUGCCUAUGAAUUCUAGUAAGAUGGUGAUACAAUAUGCUGACCUUCAGUACUAAAACCUUCAACCAACUCUUACUAAAAGAUUGCUCGAACCUCACACCCAUGUGCUCUCGAACUAAAGGAUCCUAGUGAGAGGUAGUGGAAAGCUGCGUUGAGGCGAACACAUCACAUCAUCAAAAAGGUAUACCAGAGUAAGAUAUAAUGGUUAUGAAUUGUAGCAAGAUAAUGAGUGGUGACCAUUCAAUUCAACAUGAAGAUAUUGAUGCAAUCUGCUGAAACCUCAUACCCACAUGGAACUCUUUCUGGUAAGUCUGGUAAACUUGUGAAAAGAUUAUACUCCUAAUAUUCCUGUCCAAUUUGAUAAGAAUUGGGCACACACUUCCGCCAAAUCCAUUGAUCAUGAAUUCCUCACUAAUUGAGCGAGAAACCAUGUCGGAAAGGCUGAGAUAAUACUCCAGAAUUUGAGAGUCAAAACAAGUCCAUUACAAUCCAGAGUACAAUAUAUCGAGAUUUGAACUAGAAACCAUGCCGACAGAAUGAUCCAGUUUCACAAUGAGAGACGAAUAAGCAAAGGAAGGUGAAAAUGCAGAAAUAGAAGUCACUAUUUAUGAUUAUUUUGCAAAUCAUCAUAGUAUGGUCAACUGGUUUCUUAGCCAAAAAGGAAUUAGGUCUAAGCUAAAGAAUAGUUAAGAACUGUUGAUAAGAUUUGAUGACGCUAAAGAAAUUUUGAAAUUCACAAUACUUUGUGAGAGCUGUUUCAAAGUUCAAAAAUUAAACAUAGAGCCUCUGAAUCAGCAGAAUGACGAAGAAGAAAGAUACAAAGCAGCCUGCGUAUGCAUGCAGUGACACGAUUGGCUACCUUAAAGUGAUGCUCUUGCGCAAACCAAAGCUCAUUGAGUCCAGAGAAGUUCAGAGUAAAGCUCAAUCUUCAUACAAUGAUGAAUAUGGUAGAGUCUCAAGCCAUUAAACUGAAAAUUACAAGGCUGAACAUUUAGUGGACAAGAGUACUGAUCAGUUGGGCUACAAGCGAGAACCUAAGUCCAUCUCUAUCGAAAAGUACAUGGACAAGGAGCUAGGGUUUUUCACCGAGUACCAAACCUAGGUGAAGUUUAAGGAAUCUGUUUAUCCAAACAAGUUUGGAUCUUCAUCAUCUAAUUCCAACUACGACAACAAUAAGAAUUGCAACUCCUUUUAGAAAUUGAUGAGAACGUCUGUUACCGAGGAGUUUCCCAAGAAAAGCAAUUAAUGUAAACAAAAUCAACACUCGAAGAAUUUGGUGUAAAGCUGACGGUCAACGGUUAAGGAACUUGACUUCAUCGCUAGAGAAAUCAAGAAGAUUAUCGAUAGAAUAAUCGUCGAGGACUUGUACCAAAGAUCCACACGAAUUUCCUCAAUGGAAACGAGUUCAAGAAUGUUGAUUCCAAUUCCAACUAACACUUUCCAGAUUUCAUCACAACCAACGUUUACUUGUUUUCUCCAACAUGCAUGUCAAAUGUCUUAAGUAGUUUCCACAUAGAUGUGACCUUGCCCGCCAUUCCUAGGUAACACAUGUCAUAGAGUGACACCAUCGAUUCAGAACCUCGAUUGGUCUUAACCAAUUCGUACCGCCAAUCCAAAGAUUUCGAUGUAGAGCCAACUUUACCUACAAUUCCUAGGAAACGCAUGUUGCAGAGUGGCAUCGCCAUUUUGGAUCAACGGCUGGUUUUAACCAGAAUUCCUCAAAUUGAGAUUUCUAAAACACGUCACUGAGUAUCGAUCCGAUGUUAAAAGUCGUCUAACAAAACAAACACGUCACUUGAGGCACAAUCCCGACAAGAAUUCUUGUUUUUCAACCAGAAGGUGACAAUUCAAACAAAGAAAGGUUCGCACAACUGCUCCGAAUAACACCAAAUCUAGAAGUCCUGACAUCCAAAUGAUGUCAAAACUGACACUUUACGAGAAUAGAAGAGAAUCCUAAGUAUGCUCUAAACAAACCACGCUCUGAUACCAAUCUGACACGCCCCGACCCUGAUAUUCCCCGAAUACCAGGAUAAACACUUGCUGGCCGACAUCCGAGGGUGACAAAAGCCAUUAAUUGAUACAAAAGCUAAGAAUAAGAAAUGAAUAAGGGUUAGAAAUUUAAAAUACAAUGAAAUAAUAAAUUAGGAACGUGCUCAGAGCAUACAACUAAACCUAAUCACUAAAAAGAAUUAAGAUAAAAUUGAAUGAAUAAAGAAGUGGGUCCUACAUCGAGAGGAUUCAAAGAUGCUGCUGCGGAAGUGUCUUGACGCCGGGAUUAGGUGCCUUGAUCCUAAGUCCUGAAUGGGGGCACAAAACAAAGGUAAGUGGACCAAGUUCAUAUAUAUAUAUAUAUAUAUAUAUAUAUAUAUAUAUAUAUAUAUAUAUAUAUAAUAAUAAAACAGUUAUCAAUAUACCAACCCCCACAGUUUAUAUAUAAUGAAAACUACUAGCAUAAUAAGUGAUGGAUUUAAUAAAAAUCCUAGCAUGCCAAAAAUAUCUCAAAAGUCAUAUCGCGGAACAACAUCGCGGAAAUCAAAACAGUAAACGUAUCAUAGAUCGUCUCGUAAGCUCGGUGUGCUGCUAGAAAGAUCACUUUAUAAAUAUAACUCCUGGCCCAAUACCUACUUUGUGGUCUCUGCGCCCGUAGCCAGAGAUUACUAACUCCCAGCCCAAUGCCUGCUUCAUGUCCCUUAGCCCGUAGUUAGGGAUUAUUUCUCCCGGCCUAAAUGCCAACACCAGAUCCUCACCCCAAGCAGCAUAGUGUCCUCUAGGUACGCACAAAUAGUUACGCCUCUCAUAAAUAACCACUUCAUAGUAUAAAGUCAUCCAUCGUCUAUACUAUAAAGAGGGGUUUCUAAAACAUGUUCUAGCAUCCUAUCUUCAUCCAUCAGAUAGUCUACCAGAUCAUGGUUUUUAUAGAAAAUACGAUAUAUCAAAAUAUAGCUCAAUAUAGGCCAACAAUUGAUUCCUCACCAAAAACACAAGACGAAAAUCAAUAUAUUUAAUAAACAGACUUCACAUAAAUCAAACCAUAAACUCGUAGGCAUGCUAAUCGUUUAUGCAAUUAAACUAUAAAAUGUAAUUUUAGAAAGGGUCCACUCACAGUACUUAGUUGCCAAAAGUUGCGCCAUUAGCGAAGACGGAAAGUCACAAUAAUUGCCCCUAAGCACAUAAAGAGUCCAAUAAAUAAAACUAUAUAAUAGCAAUUGAAUUUGGGAAAACGGACAUUGGAAACGGAUUCAGAAUGUCGAAUUACCCUAAGAAGGGUCCCGGACGAAAACCCAAAAAGUCAACCCUAAAGUCAACGGUCAAAUUAGGUCUAACAGGUUUUAGGCUUGAAAUCCAGAUUAGGGUUUAGGUUUAGGUUGAAUAAGGUUAGAAUCUAUUGGGUUUUGGUUUUGGAUAGGUUAGGUACAAAAUGGGUGGUUUGGGCUUAAGCCCAAAUCCACACACAACACACACACACAUACACUCACACACACACACACACACACUCACAACCCAAAGGCCUCACAACCAAAAGGGUUGGGCUCUGUAGGGAAGGCCCAAAGGGCUUGGGUUUGGUGGGUCGCCGGACCCAAUGGAAGAGAAAUCCGGAAAUCGGCCGGAAAAUGCACAACCUUUAAACGGCCAGAACUUUGUCAAACCUGAACGAAAUCAAGUGAUUCAAAAAGAAAGUUGUAGCCCUCGAAGAGAAGAAGAUAAUAGUACCUUACAGGAUGUCUAGCUCGCCGUGGUUAAUCCUCGGAGGGCGCCGGAAACUUGGUAAGAUUCAAAUGAGUAUAACUUCUUCAAUACUCAAUGAAAUUGAGUGAAACAAAAAUAAAAGUUGUAGUACUCGACGAGAUGAAAAGAUUGAUACCUUGCAUGCCAGCCAACUCGCCAUGGUUUGGCCGAAAAUUAUCUCGAAAGUGAUAGUGCUCACCGAAAAAUAUGGAGAAUGCUCCCCGAGCUGUUUUCACGUUUAAACCUUCACCAAAAACCCCUUUUUAGCAACCACUAAGCCUUCUAGACUACCAGGGAGAAAGAUGGAAGAGUGGUUCAACUUACCUUUAUUGGAAAACACCUGCACAGUGACUGUGCAUAGUGCCAAAAAUAGACCGGAGAUGUGAGGGAGAGAAUGAAGGUCCGAGUGUUGGUGAUGGGUGGUAUCGUCUUCGUUGAUGUGGUGUGGAAGUGAGGGUGUGUGGGUUCACGGGGAGAAGGAGAGAUUGCAGAGAAAGAGCACGGGUAGAGAUGAGAGAGAGGGAAAAGAGAGAAUUGAGAGAGAAGAGAAAUCGGGGACACAAAAGCAAGGUGGGCCCUCUGGGCAUAACUAUUAAGACCCAAAAAUAAUUUUAAAAGCAAUAAUAUUUUAGUUGAUGCAUUGACAAAACUACGUGAAAAUACAAUUUAAAUUGGGAUGGGGUGUAACAGUGCCCUUUGACAAAACUGCACAGCCAUAGAGGGCACAAUAAUAUUUUAGUUGAUGCAUUGUUGCUUUUGUUCUAUGGGCACAUAUGUUGGUGUCCUUUGACUUCAUAGGGCACAUUUAAUUUUUUGUGUACAGUGCUCAUAUUUUUUUGUAGUGCGGCUAAUAUAGCAACUGUUACAAACUUAUGAUUAUACCAAUAUAUAGUCAUACCAUAGUAACUGUUACAGACUUCUGAUUAUACUAGUAUAUAGUCAUACCAUAGUAGUUACAGACUUAUGAUACAAAUGCAAUUACUAAGGGAAAUAAUAAUUUACUAGAAAGGGGUCCUAUCCAGAUUCUUUUCACCUAAUCCUUCUCAUCAAAUAAUCUGGGGCCUUGAAAUUUGAUCCAACUGCUAAAAACACGAGCCCACUUUAAAAGUUAUAAUAACUUUAGCCGUUAAAUCAAAUUUUAAGAACUCGGAUUGUUUGAUGAAGAGGAUUAGGUGAAAGGGAUCCGGAGAAGAUCCCUUUCUGAAUUUAGUGCGACGCUGUUAAGAACACGUGCUAAAGAAAAGAAAUAAUACUAUGGUGUGUCAGGCCAUAAAAUUAGACUAGACUCUCGUUCAAACACCAUGGAAAGAAAAAUUGGCAAAUUCACAAUGGCUUCCAUAUAUGCUCAUUUCAGCACGGUUCAAGGAGUUUGUGGCAAUUUUCGGAUAAUUUUUCAGUUUUGUAUGAUUUUAUAUGAAUUUUACACCGUAUAUUGUAUUUUAUCGAAUAUAUGAUUCAGUAUCAAAACGACGAGCAUGUUUCAAGGAAUCUGUAUCAAUUUUAGAAUAUUUUUACGAUUUUUCUCUGAUUUUAUUCUCAAGAAAAACACAUAUAACUUCUUAUUCUCACUGCCAUGUGACAGCUUCUAUGUCAUCACUAGGGUUUAGGGUAUUAUUUCAUUACGUGUCACAAGGCAUCAUCCAAAAAAUACCCACAAGGGUAGUAUCGAAAUUUGGUUGUACACAACCCAAAUAUGUGAUGCAUUUUGAUUGGUCCAAACUCUUGCAAAACUUAGGUGGCAGCACCUGAUAAGGCCACAUGUUAUUUAACAAUAAAUUAAUUUGACAUCCGAGUUUGUAUCUGAGUUUACAUCCAAGUUUCAUCAACGCAACUCACCCAAGUCAUCUGAGCUUACAUCCAAGUUUCAUCAACGCAACUCACCCAGGUCAACUAUAAGUCCAACUCAACCCAAGUCAACAAUAUAAACCCUAAACACAACAUGUCAACAAGUAUUCAUAAAUUUAAACAAGUUUUCAUCAACACAACUCAACCAAGUUAAAAAUAUAACUCCAUCUCAACCAAAUUUAACAGUAUAAAACCUAAACACAACUUUCAACAAGUAUUCAUAAACCUGUAUCAAUCUCAAAUUUCAACAAACUUCAUCAACAAUCAUGAAUAAUUAACCAUGAACGCUAAAUUAAUUUUAAAAAAAUUGAACAUAAAUAAAAAGUUUACUUACCAGGGUUCCAAAAUUUCAAAGUCACCAAAUCAACAACCCGAAAUUUCAAAGUGACUUUAAGGGAAGGAACUAUGACGUCGAUUUGGAGGAAGCAAGUUUGUCGUCGAUUUGAAGGAAGCAGGUAGGCAAUCGAUUUGGAGGAAGUAAGUAGGCUGUCAUUCCUCAGCACAAGCUGCGAACGAAUUAAGGUGCGUCUUUUGUGUCGGAACAGUUUAAAACGAAGUAUGCCACUGUCGGUUUCGAAGACGCGGUGUGGAAGACGCCGUCAGAGACAGUGUGAAACUCGAACGAAAUUUUUUGAAUUCGCGUGUAAGUGUUGGGCAGAGGGAGACGACAAAGUAAACUCACGGGGAAGUUACAAAUUCAAUUUUUGUAACUAUUGUCCAAUUCUGUAGGCCAAUAAUUAAUGGGUCAUUUAUGACCUGGUUUCACGCUAAGCUUAAUUGGCUGAUGUGAGCCGUUUAGAUAAAAUUCAACAGUUUACGUUGGUCCAAACAGAUAGUCUGCACAAUAGAAUUUGCGAACUUCAGGUUCACGGUAAUUAUAAUCGGAUCAGUGGCUGAGCCACAAUGGGGCCAUGACAGUCCCAGACCCGUUCUGCAGCUCCUACCAUAUAGCAUAUAGCACGUUGUUUUACAAAACUGUUAUAACACAAGUAUAUCCAAACUGCAUGAAGGAUCAAUUGUGUUGAAAAAAAACUAAUUCUGUUAUAAAUAAAGGUCCAUUGUAUUGACAGUUUGGCCGCCAUGUGUUCAACAAUUAGUUUUAUGUUUAUUGUAUAAUUUUCCCAAUACUAAUUAAACUCAUAAAAACUCUAUAGGUUCAUCCUUUUCUUUAGUUUAUAAAGACCCAUGCCAAUGUAAGCAUUAUGUGUUUUUUUUUUUUCACUUAACACUAGAAGGACUUAGGUUUGACUCAUGUGAAUAGCGAGUUUGAUAUCAAAUUAUUUUUAUGGACUUAUUAUAUGAUUUAGCUCAAACUUUCACCCCAUAGUGUAAAAUAAGGUUGCAUCAGAAUAAUUAUUCAUGCCAGUACAAAAAAAAUCUCUAAAUUUUCUCCCUUAUAUUUUGUUUAAUGAUGAUCUAGCUUAAAGACCUUCCCAACCUGGAUUUAUGGCUCCGCCACGUGAUUGACCCGCUUCAGGAGGCCCAAAGGUCUUAGGUCCAUUCGGUACACCCCAUUUCAAUGCCGAAAUCGUCACACAUGAUGGUCCUCCACCUAUUUCGAUGCCGACAUCGUCACACAUGAUGGUGGCGAGGUGCACCGACCUCGGAGAUGUUACGGGUGCCCUUAGGAUGCCCUAAUCCAAUGAGAUUCUUUGGGUAAUCUCUUGGAUUCCAGUCGUCAUAGACGACCCCACCAUCAUGGGACGGCGGCUUCUGGCAUCAUGUUGACUAGCUAGUCCUCACAGAUGUAGGAUUUUCUCGGUUUAUGGCGAGAAGAUAGGGUGGCCUUGGCGUCUAGAGGUUAGGAACACUACCGUAAAAAAAAACGAUGUGUUGUCUAGGCCAGGGCUAGGGUUUGGUAACUUGGCUCGUUGCUUGGCAUGGCUCAUCCUCUUGCCAUGGGGCGCGUCUUCAAGUUACGGCUACUACGGAUUUUAGGAUUUUUGAAAUAAAAAUAGCUAUUCUUACCAUCUCUCUAAUAAAGAUAAGACCCAAAUGUAUUGGCAGGUCCUAUCUCUAUUAGAGAGAUGAUACAAAUAGGUGAUAAAUGUAAUAUUACUCUUUUAAAAUCCUUUUUUUUUCUUUUCUUUUUUUGAUAUACCCACACAUACAUCGACAAGUAAUUUGCAUAUAACGAAGCAUAGUAAUCUCAUUAUACAAAGUAUGAAAUAAAAAUAAAGAUCAAAGGGAUUAGGGUUAGAGUUGCUUUUUUUCUUUUUUCUUUUUUGAACAAUAAUAUUAUAUACACUAAGGGGGAGGAGGUUGGUUGAGCCUCACAAUGGGCUAGUAAUAAUGUUGUUCAAAUUCACAUUUGGUGAAAUCAAACCUAAAACCUCUUACUUACAAGUAAUACAAGUCUUAAAGGAUUUGAUCUCUACAAACACCUACUAAAUUCCUAUUUCUAAUUUACACAAUCGCAUUCCUAUAAUAACGUUGUUUACGACACACAUGAUAAUACAUCCUUCAUAUAGCAAAAAAGGGAAAAGACCCAAACGAAAAGUUCUAAUAAUCUUUAUUCAUGUCAGGCCAAACCAAAGUGAGAAAUCAUUUUAAACACCCACGUAUGAAAUUGUUCAUCAAAGAUUACUCCACGCGACGUUUGAGUAUAUACACAUACAGUAAAGUUGCUAUAGAUACACUAUCAAAAAUUACCAUUUGCAACGAAUUUUACCCGACGGAUUGUUGUGAUAUGUAAUCAAAAUCACCAAUCAUGAAAACUGGUACGGAAUAAAUUAAACUCUAAAUAUUAAUGGAAAAUCAUAAGAGUUAUCAGAGCAUACAACAUGUAAGCUUAAAAGGGUUUUUAUCACAAAUAGUCCUUGAAAUUGACCAUCAUCAUCAAGAUGGUCCCUGAAAUUAAAAAUCAAUCAAUGUAAUCCCUGAAAAUAGGUGUCGCAAAUCAAUGUGGUCAUUCCGUCACAAUUCUGUUAAAAAAUCCAUUAAGUGCUGAUGUGGCACAUAAAUGGGCCCCACAAUAUUUAUAGGUUUUUAUCACAAAUAGUCCCUGAAAUUGACCCAUACAAUCAAGAUGAUCCCUGAAAUUGACCCACACCAUCAAUAUGGUCCCUCAAAUUGAAAAUCAAUCAAUGUAGUCCUUGAAAAUAGGUGUCGCAAAUCAAUAUGAUUUUUCUGCCACAAUUCUGUAAAAAAAAAAUUGUUAUGUGCUGAUGUGGGUUUAAUAAUUAAUUAAAAUAAGUUGUCUAAAUACCUUUUUGCACAAUGAAUUUUUUUUUUCUUAUAGUAGGCCUACUCCGAAAAAAGAUCCAUUUCAUAAAUUCUCAAGGGCACAAGACUUAACCAAGGCCUAAGAGGGGGUAUGGAAAUAGUUUUCAACCAAUAAUGGAUGCACCUCGGUUAUAACCUCGUUAUCUCAAGUCAGACCUUGUCGUUCUUUGCAUCACUAGACCACCUGGAAAGCGCAAACAAGCUCUUCAAGAUAAAGGUUGUGAGGAUAUUAAUCGCCUAAAUGUUAAUGGUGAUGUUCCAAUAGUUGUUGCUAAUGGGUCAAGCCAUCACCAAAGGUGAUCUCGAUCUAGGUUCAAUUCAGUGAAGGGUGUCGAAAUGUGUAAAGAUAGGUGUAUUGAGAUUUCUUUUAGAGAAUAGAGAGCGAAUGAGGUAGAGAAAUGUCGACUGGGAUCAGAGGUGAUUGCAUGACUGGGUUUUUGAGUUGACAAUUUUUUUAUUAACUACUAAAUUAUUAAGCCUAUUUCUAAUUUUUUUUUAAUUUAAUUAGACUUGUGUGACCCAUUUAUGUAUCACAUCAGCACAUAAUAGUAUUGUGACAAAAGAACUACAUUGAUUUGAGACACUUACUUGUGGGACUGCAUUGAUCAAUUUUCAAUUUCAGGGACCAUUUUGAUGUUACGAGUCAAUUUUAGGGACCAUUUUGAUGUCGUGGGUCAAUUUUAAGGACCAUUUGUAAGAAAAAAGGACUUGUGGGGCCCAUUUAUGUGCCACAUCAGCACUUAACAUAAUUUUUAAUAGAAUUGUGACAGAAAUACCACAUUGAUUUGGGGCACCUAUUUUCAGGGACUACAUUGAUUGAUUUUCAAUUUCAGAGACCAUUUGUAAUAAAAACCCAACUUAAAAUUGGGUAAAGUCAUAAGACUCAAUUUAUGAGCCAAAAUCUUGAACUCCAUGAUAUUCACACAAUUAAUGGGGAAGACAUAAAUCACAUAACUUGAUAACUAGUCGUUAAAUAUCAUCUACAACCUUUAUCUUGAACGUUCUGUAGAUGAGCCGUCGGUGUGGAGAAAAUUAGGUUCUCUCUUUAGCCUUGCUUGCACGUUAAAACCCUAAUACGUGUUUUUCGUUAGUGCAACACUAUAUGGGUAUGCGCAUUGUUAUAGGUAAAGAGAACCUAUUUCCUUGAAACUCAUAAUUAUUUAUCACCCUUCACAAUAAUAUCCAUUAAACACUAGGACCAUAUCAUGUGCACCACAUUAGGUUAUUAAAAUAUUCUUACUGGAGGCUACGUCUUGCAUCACAGGCGAAGCUGAACUCACUGCGUCACUAUGCCCUAUCUAUAUCUAGCUCAUUCUUAUGUAGCAGCUGCUAGAAAUAAGAUGCAAGACAUAUUAGGCGGCAAAGUUCUAUUUAGAGAAAAUAUAUGCAUAACAACACAAUACAUGGUUUAGAACUUUAAUGUCAAACAUCGAUACAACAAAACUAAUAACGACAUUUACGUAAAAUUACGUGAGCACCAGAUUGAGGUUGAAGAGUUGCGUAUGUUAAAGGAUCAUGAGCAUAGGAUGAAGAGAGCUCGAAGGUAAAGUGUUGUAAGAUCAAUGAUAAGGCAAGUUUUGAUUCCAUCAUAGCAAAAUUUUGGCCAAUGCAAAUCCACGGACCAGCGCCAAAAGGGAAGUAUGUGAAUCUGUUGUUGUUGCCUAUGAAACUCCUCCUGAAAACCUCUC